UGGAGAGCGUACACAGGUGCUGCAUGCGUGUCGUCAGCUCGUGUCGUGAGAUGUUGGGUUAAGUCCCGCAACGAGCGCAACCCUUGCCUUUAGUUGCCAGCAGUUCGGCUGGGCACUCUAAAGGGACUGCCGGUGUUAAACCGGAGGAAGGUGGGGAGUGACGUCAAGUCCUCAUGGCCUUUAUGACCAGGGCUACACACGUACUACAAUGGCCGAUACAAAGGGCAGCGACACUGCGAGGUGAAGCCAAUCCCGUAAAAUCGGUCUCAGUCCGGAUUGGAGUCUGCAACUCGACUCCAUGAAGUUGGAAUCGCUAGUAAUCGUGGAUCAGCAUGCCACGGUGAAUACGUUCCCGGGCCUU
This 361-nucleotide ribosomal RNA is filed under the name uncultured Desulfobulbus sp. Its description in RNAcentral is "bacterial SSU rRNA". It matches the Rfam family "Bacterial small subunit ribosomal RNA", at positions 1022 to 1382 of the family's 1533-position model. The record is from RNAcentral. Lineage: Bacteria; Pseudomonadati; Thermodesulfobacteriota; Desulfobulbia; Desulfobulbales; Desulfobulbaceae.